AACGAACGCUGGCGGCAUGCCUAACACAUGCAAGUCGAACGAGACCUUCGGGUCUAGUGGCGCACGGGUGCGUAACGCGUGGGAAUCUGCCCUUGGGUUCGGAAUAACAGUUGGAAACGACUGCUAAUACCGGAUGAUGACGUAAGUCCAAAGAUUUAUCGCCCAAGGAUGAGCCCGCGUAGGAUUAGCUAGUUGGUGAGGUAAAGGCUCACCAAGGCGACGAUCCUUAGCUGGUCUGAGAGGAUGAUCAGCCACACUGGGACUGAGACACGGCCCAGACUCCUACGGGAGGCAGCAGUGGGGAAUAUUGGACAAUGGGCGAAAGCCUGAUCCAGCAAUGCCGCGUGAGUGAUGAAGGCCUUAGGGUUGUAAAGCUCCUUUACCCGGGAUGAUAAUGACAGUACCGGGAGAAUAAGCUCCGGCUAACUCCGUG
RNAcentral lists this ribosomal RNA (433 nucleotides) under uncultured bacterium. RNAcentral describes it as "partial 16S ribosomal RNA". It matches the Rfam family "Bacterial small subunit ribosomal RNA", at positions 29 to 507 of the family's 1533-position model. The record is from RNAcentral.